Molecule: ribosomal RNA, 466 nt
Filed under: uncultured bacterium
Lineage: Bacteria
Description: partial 16S ribosomal RNA
Rfam family: Bacterial small subunit ribosomal RNA
Source: RNAcentral
GAUGAACGCUGGCGGCGUGCUUAACACAUGCAAGUCGAACGAUGAAGCCCAGCUUGCUGGGUGGAUUAGUGGCGAACGGGUGAGUAACACGUGAGUAACCUGCCCUUAACUCUGGGAUAAGCCUGGGAAACUGGGUCUAAUACCGGAUAGGAGCGUCCACCGCAUGGUGGGUGUUGGAAAGAUUUAUCGGUUUUGGAUGGACUCGCGGCCUAUCAGCUUGUUGGUGAGGUAAUGGCUCACCAAGGCGACGACGGGUAGCCGGCCUGAGAGGGUGACCGGCCACACUGGGACUGAGACACGGCGCAGACUCCUACGGGAGGCAGCAGUGGGGAAUAUUGCACAAUGGGCGCAAGCCUGAUGCAGCGACGCCGCGUGAGGGAUGACGGCCUUCGGGGUGUAAACCUCUUUCAGUAGGGAAGAAGAGAAAGUGACGGUACCUGCAGAAGAAGCACCGGCUAACUACGUG